Molecule: ribosomal RNA, 221 nt
Filed under: uncultured bacterium
Lineage: Bacteria
Description: partial 16S ribosomal RNA
Rfam family: Bacterial small subunit ribosomal RNA
Source: RNAcentral
UACGAAGGGGGCUAGCGUUACUCGGAAUUACUGGGCGUAAAGGGCGCGUAGGCGGCGCUCCAAGUUAGGCGUGAAAGUCCUGGGCUCAACCUGGGAACUGCGCUUGAUACUGGAGUGCUUGAGGAUGGAAGAGGGUUGUGGAAUUCCCAGUGUAGAGGUGAAAUUCGUAGAUAUUGGGAAGAACACCGGUGGCGAAGGCGGCGAGCUGGUCCAUUACCUGA